UGGGCCGGACUGGACCCUUUGGGGGGCUGGACCGUCCCUUUAAUGGGCCGGACCGGACCGGACCCUUUAGGGGGGCUGGACCAGACCCUUUGGGGGGCCGGCUUUUGCCCGUGGUCCACAUGUUUGAGCCCCUGUUUUCAGGGCUUUGGUUUCAGCUGAAGUCAGAUUCAGGAUCUGAAACAGACUUAAAAGUCUUUUAAGUGUCAGAUUAGUUUGUGUUCAGCAGCUGGAGUGUCCAGGUCAUUUCAGUUCAGGGUCACAAACUAAAAGAACACGAUAAUUAACCAUAAAUAAUGACAAACAAACAUUUGUUUUAGUUUUAGUGAAAAAAGUAACAAUCAUAAAAAUGUUUCAAAUGUACGUUUACAAACUAUCCUUUAAUUAAAAAGUGACGAACAUCAGCAACCUGAAUGUUUCGUAUAAAUAAAUAAAUCGGUGGAAUCGUACUAAUAUUCUGCCAAAUCUCAGGUUGUUCAUGUUUUUCUUUUUUUUUGCGAAGGAUAAUUUAUAGAUGUAAACAUUUUCAUCGUGUGACUGAACGUCUUAAACUUUAAAACAUCAUUUAUAGUUUAUUUUUCAUCAUUUGAACUAAAACGACUCCAACACUUUUGUUCGUAUCUUCAGUGUCGGCUCCAGCCGGUUUUGUUUGACCCCCCUCAGUCCAGGUCCAGGUUGUGGGCCGUAUGUUUGACCCCCCUCAGUCCAGGUCCAGGUCCAGAAGCUCCAGCUGAUGCGACUCCAUCGGCUUCGGUGUCUUUUUUUACGCAUGGUGUAAUUACAGACGAAACACAACAUACGACGUUAGUGACUGCGUACAACGUCCGGUUUGCGACAAUCCAACCGAAUCCCAGGGCGAACUCUGCAGGAACCGCCAUCGCUACGUUAGCAUGUCCGUCGUAAAAACCCAAAAAAACGUAAUAAGUCUGCCGACGAACCACCCUCCAGGCACGAGAAGCCGAACCCUGACAUGUCCAUCUACUGUUGAAGGGCUAACCCAUCCGAUCGUAUGUUUACUGUGGUGACCUGUUCUGGGCUAGGGUUAGGCUAACGCUAAGGCUAACUCUAACGCUAAUCCUAACCCUAACGCUAACCUGGGCCCUUGGAUCAAACCUGUAGCAGCAUUGAGCUUUAAAACAUACGGCGAAGUUUUAGGGCCACGUAACAACAAAAAAACAGUCACUACCUGAAAAAAGUCGGAAAAUAUCCAGAUAAAACCUCUAAUUUUAUAAGAAUAAAGUCGGAUACAAAAAGAGUUGUAAUUUUAUGAGAAUAAAGUCGUAAUAUUAUGAGAAGGAAGUCAUAGAUUAAAAAAAAAAAAAAACCCACAUAAUUUAACAUAAACUAAUUUCGUACUUUUAUGAUUAAAGUUGUAAUAUUUUGAAAAUAAAAUUGCAAUAGUGCAAUAAAGAGUCAGAAUUUAACGAAAACAAUAUGUACUUUUGUGAUUAAAGUCAUAAAAAUUGGAUUAGUGCUGUUCAAACUGUCGGUAACAGAUCGGAUAUUAGGUCACAUCUGGGCAAAAAAAAAUCGGAUUUUCAAACUGUCGAAUACAGAUCGCAUAUGGGUAAAAAUAAAAAUCGGAUUAGUGCUGUUCAAACUGUAACAGAUCGGAUACAGAUCCCAUAUGGGCAAAAAAAUCGGAUUAGUGCCGUUGAAACUAUCAGAUCGGAUACAGAUCGCUUGUGGGUAAAAAAAUCAGAUUAGUGCUUUUCAAACUGUAACAGAUCAGAUACAGGUCGCAUUUGGGCGAAACAUCGGAUUUUCAAACUCUAACAGAUGGGAUACAGAUCGCAUAUGGAUAAAAAAAAAAUCGGAUUAGUGCUGUUCAAACUUUCAAACAGAUCAGAUACAGACUGACUUUGGGCCAAAAUGUCGGAUUUUCAGACUGUAACAGAUCGGAUACAGAUCGCAUAUGGGCAAAAAAAUCUGAUUUUUAAAGUGUAACAGAUCGCAUAUGGGUGAAAAAAUCGCACAUGGACACAUUUCCCUUCAGUCUGAACGUAGCCUUUUUAUAUUUGACUUUCUUCUGCUAAACUUCUUGGUUUAAUCUGGACAUUUUCUGACGUUCUCUUCGUAGUUAGCAGUGUUUUUUUGUUUUUUGUUUUUUUUUUCCGCGGCCCUAACGCUCCGUCGUAAACCCCGUCCGACUGGAGGGUUUCCGAAUUCUGGCUCCUCUCAUGUGAUGGCCAAAGUCCCGGUUGCGUUCGUCUCUUUGUUUUCCGAGGCUCGUACUGUAAUUCUAUUGUUACCAAAUGGGUUCAGUGUUUUCCUGUGAUUCUGUUGAUGAUAGACAAACGUGCUCUUUACGAUAAAAAAAAAAAAAAAAAAAAAACCACAAAAACAGUUCGGAUCUUUGGAAUGCCAGUUUUAGAGUUUUCUCUGAAUGUGUCCAUAUGGAAGCCGUAUUAUCGUACGUUCAGUAACUUGAAUGACUCCUGGUUCUGAAUGUUUCUAUCGUAUUCUUUGUAUCGUCACGACUGACUUUACCUGUUUAGAGAUUUAUAUUUUCAUAAAUGUUGUACCGACAUUUUGUUACAGAGUUGUUUAACUGGAAAUUCAACGGAAAAAGAAGAUUAUGUCUGAAGCAAUAUGAAACUAGUGUGUAUGCAUUUGUUUGUAUGAAACAUUUUAACGUAAUAAAAUGGUUCACUUUUUGCCUCCUGA
Molecule: long non-coding RNA, 2664 nt
Organism: Sphaeramia orbicularis (orbiculate cardinalfish)
Lineage: Eukaryota; Metazoa; Chordata; Actinopteri; Kurtiformes; Apogonidae
Exons: 2
Source: RefSeq, a predicted model, not a curated record